Molecule: ribosomal RNA, 496 nt
Filed under: uncultured bacterium
Lineage: Bacteria
Description: partial 16S ribosomal RNA
Rfam family: Bacterial small subunit ribosomal RNA
Source: RNAcentral
GAUGAACGCUGGCGGCGUGCCUAAUACAUGCAAGUCGAGCGAACGCACGAGACGCUUUCUUUUCUGAUGUUAGCGGCGGGCGCGGGAGUAACACGUGGAUAACCUACCUAUAAGACUGGGAUAACUUCGUGAAACCGGUGCUAAUACCGGAUAAUCUUUUGAACCGCAUAGAUCGAGAGUGUAAGACGGUCUUGCUUUCGCUUAUCGAUGGUUCCGCGCUGCAUUAGCUAGUUGGUAAGGUAACGUCUUACCAAGGCAACGAUGCAUCGCCGACCUUGGAGGGUGAUAGGCCAAACUGGACCUGAGAAACGGCCCAAAUCCCACGGGGAGGAGGAAGUAGGGAAUCUUCCGAAAUGGGCGAAAGCCUGACGGAGCAACGCCGCGUGAGGGAGAAAGGUCUUCGGUUCUUAAAACUUUGUUAUGGGGGAAAAACAUAUGUGUAUGUAACCGUGCACCACUGGACGGUACCGAAGCAGAAGAACCCGGCUACCUCCGU